UACGUAGGUGGCAAGCGUUGUCCGGAAUUAUUGGGCGUAAAGCGCGCGCAGGUGGGAUCUUAAGUCUGUUCUGAAAGUUCGGAGCUCAACUCCGUGAUGGGAUGGAAACUGGGAUUCUUGAGUACCGGAGAGGAAAGCGGAAUUCCCCGUGUAGCGGUGAAAUGCGUAGAUAUGGGGAGGAACACCAGUGGCGAAGGCGGCUUUCUGGACGGUGUCUGACACUGAGGCGCGAAAGCUAGGGGAGCGAACGGG
Molecule: ribosomal RNA, 252 nt
Filed under: uncultured bacterium
Lineage: Bacteria
Description: partial 16S ribosomal RNA
Rfam family: Bacterial small subunit ribosomal RNA
Source: RNAcentral